Molecule: ribosomal RNA, 305 nt
Filed under: uncultured bacterium
Lineage: Bacteria
Description: bacterial SSU rRNA
Rfam family: Bacterial small subunit ribosomal RNA
Source: RNAcentral
CAUUCCUACGGGGCGCAGCAGUGGGGAAUAUUGGGCAAUGGGCGCAAGCCUGACCCAGCAACGCCGCGUGAAGGAAGAAGGCUUUCGGGUUGUAAACUUCUUUUAAGAGGGAAGAGAAGAAGACGGUACCUCUUGAAUAAGCUCCGGCUAACUACGUGCCAGCAGCCGCGGUAAUACGUAGGGAGCAAGCGUUAUCCGGAUUUACUGGGUGUAAAGGGCGCGUAGGCGGGAUGGCAAGUCAGAUGUGAAAUCCAGGGGCUCAACCCCUGAACUGCAUUUGAAACUGUCGUUCUUGAGUACUGGAG